GACGAACGCUGGCGGCGUGCCUAAUACAUGCAAGUCGAGCGGACAGAUGGGAGCUUGCUCCCUGAUGUUAGCGGCGGACGGGUGAGUAACACGUGGGUAACCUGCCUGUAAGACUGGGAUAACUCCGGGAAACCGGGGCUAAUACCGGAUGGUUGUUUGAACCGCAUGGUUCAAACAUAAAAGGUGGCUUCGGCUACCACUUACAGAUGGACCCGCGGCGCAUUAGCUAGUUGGUGAGGUAACGGCUCACCAAGGCAACGAUGCGUAGCCGACCUGAGAGGGCGAUCGGCCACACUGGGACUGAGACACGGCCCAGACUCCUACGGGAGGCAGCAGUAGGGAAUCUUCCGCAAUGGACGAAAGUCUGACGGAGCAACGCCGCGUGAGUGAUGAAGGUUUUCGGAUCGUAAAGCUCUGUUGUUAGGGAAGAACAAGUACCGUUCGAAUA
This 448-nucleotide ribosomal RNA is filed under the name Bacillus subtilis. RNAcentral's name for it is "bacterial SSU rRNA". It matches the Rfam family "Bacterial small subunit ribosomal RNA", at positions 28 to 466 of the family's 1533-position model. The record is from RNAcentral. Lineage: Bacteria; Bacillati; Bacillota; Bacilli; Caryophanales; Bacillaceae.